UACGGGGGGGGUAAGCGUUGUUCGGAAUUACUGGGCGUAAAGGGCGCGUAGGCGGCCUACUAAGUCGGACGUGAAAUCCCUCGGCUCAACCGGGGAACUGCGUCCGAUACUGGUGGGCUCGAAUCCGGGAGAGGGAUGUGGAAUUCCAGGUGUAGCGGUGAAAUGCGUAGAUAUCUGGAGGAACACCGGUGGCGAAGGCGGCAUCCUGGACCGGUAUUGACGCUGAUGCGCGAAAGCCAGGGGAGCAAACGGG
This 253-nucleotide ribosomal RNA is filed under the name uncultured bacterium. Its description in RNAcentral is "partial 16S ribosomal RNA". It matches the Rfam family "Bacterial small subunit ribosomal RNA", at positions 524 to 776 of the family's 1533-position model. The record is from RNAcentral.